CAAUAGCGUAUAUUCAAGUUGUUGCAGUUAAAAAGCUCGUAGUUGGAUUUCGGAUGGGACUUGCCGGUCCGUCGUUUCGAUGUGCACUGGCCAGUCCUAUCUUGUUGUCGGGGACUAGCUCCUGGGCUUCACUGUCCGGGACUAGGAGCUGACGAGGUUACUUUGAGUAAAUUAGAGUGUUCAAAGCAAGCCUACGCUCUGAAUACAUUAGCAUGGAAUAACACGAUAGGACUCUGGCUUAUCUUGUUGGUCUGUGAGACCAGAGUAAUGAUUAAGAGGGACAGUCGGGGGCAUUCGUAUUUCAUUGUCAGAGGUGAAAUUCUUGGAUUUAUGAAAGACGAACUUCUGCGAAAGCAUUUGUCAAGGAUGUUUUCAUUAA
Molecule: ribosomal RNA, 379 nt
Filed under: uncultured eukaryote
Lineage: Eukaryota
Description: partial 18S ribosomal RNA
Rfam family: Eukaryotic small subunit ribosomal RNA
Source: RNAcentral